UAGGGAAUCUUCGGCAAUGGACGAAAGUCUGACCGAGCAACGCCGCGUGAGUGAAGAAGGUUUUCGGAUCGUAAAACUCUGUUGUUAGAGAAGAACAAGGACGUUAGUAACUGAACGUCCCCUGACGGUAUCUAACCAGAAAGCCACGGCUAACUACGUGCCAGCAGCCGCGGUAAUACGUAGGUGGCAAGCGUUGUCCGGAUUUAUUGGGCGUAAAGCGAGCGCAGGCGGUUUCUUAAGUCUGAUGUGAAAGCCCCCGGCUCAACCGGGGAGGGUCAUUGGAAACGGGGAGUCUUGAGUGCAGAAGAGGAGAGUGGAAUUCCAUGUGUAGCGGUGAAAUGCGUAGAUAUAGGGAGGAACACCAGUGGCGAAGGCGGCUCUCUGGUCUGUAACUGACGCUGAGGCUCGAAAGCGUGGGGAGCAAACAGG
This 429-nucleotide ribosomal RNA is filed under the name Gemmatimonadota bacterium. RNAcentral's name for it is "Gemmatimonadetes bacterium partial 16S ribosomal RNA". It matches the Rfam family "Bacterial small subunit ribosomal RNA", at positions 355 to 776 of the family's 1533-position model. The record is from RNAcentral. Lineage: Bacteria; Pseudomonadati; Gemmatimonadota.